UUGUGCGGAUGCCUGAUGAUCGUCUUCCAAAGCAACUACUCUAUUCCGAGCUUAAGAAUGGAAAGCGUAAUGCUGGUGGUCAACAAAAGAGGUUUAAAGACUCUCUCAAGGCAAAUCUUUAAAAAAUGUAGUAUAAACACCAACAAUUGGGAAACACUGGCCUGCGAGCGCUCCAGUUGGAGAACAGCCUUGACCAAAGGUGUCCUGGGCUUUGAAGACACUCGAACUCAGGA
This is a non-coding RNA of Podarcis lilfordi (Lilford's wall lizard), 233 nucleotides long. Lineage: Eukaryota; Metazoa; Chordata; Lepidosauria; Squamata; Lacertidae. The record is from the annotation of a GenBank genome assembly.